AGGGCCUCAGCAAACAGAUGCAGACUCUGUUAAUUAAACAAGCCGGAGCAAUCACCCAGGCUCCUGGACAACUCAAACCAGGAUCCUCUCACUAGAUACAAAACUUCAAGCCUCAGCUGCCUCGUCUGAAGAAAGGGGAUAAUUAUAGUACCUGCCUCACAGUGUGGUUGUGAAGACCCAACGAAUGGACAGAUGCAAAGUACUUAGAACAGCGCCUGGCCCUUGGUAAGCUGCUUCACCUCUCUGAACUCCAGUCAGCUUUCCUACAGAAUGGAGUGUCAUAACAUCCACAUCCUCUGGUGCGUUGUGAGGCUUCAGGGACACCUGCGUUUAGUACCGUGACUGGUACUCGGC
RNAcentral lists this long non-coding RNA (354 nucleotides) under Equus caballus (horse). Its description in RNAcentral is "lncRNA (ENSECAG00000054572.1)". Lineage: Eukaryota; Metazoa; Chordata; Mammalia; Perissodactyla; Equidae. The record is from RNAcentral.